UAGGGAAUCUUCCACAAUGGACGCAAGUCUGAUGGAGCAACGCCGCGUGAGUGAAGAAGGUUUUCGGAUCGUAAAGCUCUGUUGUUGGUGAAGAAGGAUAGAGGCAGUUACUGGUCUUUAUUUGACGGUAAUCAACCAGAAAGUCACGGCUAACUACGUGCCAGCCGCCGCGGUAAUACGUGGGUGGCAAGCGUUGUCCGGAUUUAUUGGGCGUAAAGCGAGCGGAGGGGGAAUGAUAAAUCUGAUGUGAAAGCCCACGGCUCAACCGUGGGACUGCAUCUGAAACUGUCAUUCUUGAAUGCAGAAGGGGAGGGUUGAAUUCCAUGUGGAGCGGUGGAAUGCGUAGAUAAAUGGAAGAACACCAGUGGCGAAGGCGGCUCUCUGGUCUGCAACUGACGCUGAGGCUCGGAAGCAUGGGUAGCGAACAAG
RNAcentral lists this ribosomal RNA (429 nucleotides) under bacterium. RNAcentral's name for it is "partial 16S ribosomal RNA". It matches the Rfam family "Bacterial small subunit ribosomal RNA", at positions 355 to 776 of the family's 1533-position model. The record is from RNAcentral.